AGAAGAACUUUGACAGAAAAGCCUUCUUACAAUCAUCCCAGGUGGUGAUUGAGUCAUGGGGCAGAUUCUUCUCCCAGAUAUGUGCUUUGUCACCCAAGGAAAAUGGGAACAAACGGAGCUUGAAUCCAUCUUCACUGACACCAUUGAUCUUCGUUAGGUUGCAGAGCCUAUCGAAUUCAUCAAGGUGGUCGAGUGGAUCCUCCAUUGGCAAACCAUGGAAUUUGUUCCCCUGAAUCAUCAAGAUGAGACCACUCUUAAUCUCGAAGUUGUUAUUCUGGAUAGCAGGAGGUGCGAUUCCCUUCCUCUGACGGUGAUCACGUGGUGCAUCUCCAGCACCAAUGUUGGCAUGGCCAUUUUGCUGAUUCUGUUCUUCAGCCAUAACGAGUGGUUGCUGAGGUACAGGGUUGACUGUGGUUCUCCUUUUUCUGAUUUCGCGGGCUGUGCGGUUGAUAUUGUCGUUGAAAAGGAGGUUCUGGUUGCCUGUUGAUCGAGUUCGCAUACAGUAGAGGUGUACCUGGAUCAAGAAGACAACAAGAAAAACACACAGUUAGUAACUAAAAAGAAAAUUGAAAAAGAACUUGAUCUAAGCAAGUCUGAAAUCUCAAAUGUAACAAACAAACACCCAAUUGGCAACGGCGCCAAAUUGAUAAUAGGUUUUUCAGUCAAUUAUCCUAAAACACCAAUCAUGUCGUUGUAGUAUUUUAGGUUGUCAAUCCAAAUGGGUGUGAUGCUAACAAUCAAGAUGUGAUCAGAAGUCACUAAGUCAAGCCAAGCAAUAACAGGUUUUGGUGUGUUCUAGCAAUCCUAAGUGAACAAGCAGGAAACAGAAAAUCAAACAGAAACAGUAAAACACUCGACCAACACAGCUCUUUGUAGAGCCCUGGGUGAGGUCGAGUGACAGGUCGAGUAACAGACAGAAAAUGAAACAAAGAUACUCGACUGCACAGUCUGUUGCCAGACAACUGGGUGGUCGAGUAUCAGGUCGAGUAACAGUAAAGAAUUGCAGAAACUAAGCAACAGGUGACAGGAUGCAGUAAACAGCAGUAGAGUACACAAUAAAAUCAAUCAGACAAAGAAUUCCUAAGGAUGGGGUAAUUGAGUAGUUUCGUUUCCUCAGUUUACAGGUGAUUGACAUGCUCAACAAAUUAACCCUAGACAACAAGUUCGUUAACCAAAUCUAAGUGCCACCGCAACAGAGACUCUCAAGCUAACCUAGUCCCAGACUCAAUCACCAUUGACGAGAGCUAACCUAACAGGCAUUACGAAUCAACAAGUUAAAGCCAAAACGCUCCCUGCAACCAAUACCUUGGUACAGGGUCACGAAUCUCUGGAAUUAGUGGUUCAGGCAUUUCAUCGAACACCUUUUGGGCGCGGAAAUGUCUGGGCUCAAAUUCCAGUUGAUCAGAAAACAAUAGGCAUUAAGAACAACUAAUCCAGAAGGGAUCUAUCAAUCAAUACUCAAUCACCUAGCAUACUGAGAAUUCUACACUACUCUAACCCAUCCUCAGAAACCUAUUCACUACUCAGACAUCAUGACAGAAAGCAUAAACGUUGAACAUGUUGAAGACAUGAUAACAGCAGUAUGAUAACAGAAUGAAUAACAGUAAACGAAAAUCAAGAACAGAAACUGAAUAUUGAAUACUGAAUAGAUAAAGAGAAAUCCGGAUUACAAAAAGUCUAGAACACAAGGUCUGCGGAAAUAAAAACUAGGUAA
RNAcentral lists this small RNA (1714 nucleotides) under Arabidopsis thaliana (thale cress). RNAcentral's name for it is "ATSL203400". Lineage: Eukaryota; Viridiplantae; Streptophyta; Magnoliopsida; Brassicales; Brassicaceae. The record is from RNAcentral.